This 1597-nucleotide long non-coding RNA is filed under the name Anas platyrhynchos platyrhynchos (common mallard). Its description in RNAcentral is "lncRNA (ENSAPLG00000018442.1)". The record is from RNAcentral. Lineage: Eukaryota; Metazoa; Chordata; Aves; Anseriformes; Anatidae.
AUGAAUUCUGUGCUCUGCACACAGCCGGAGCUCGCUGUGCACGUGGACGUCGAGUUGGACCUGUUGGACCUGCUGCUUUUGGCAGGGGGAGGAGGUCCUGACUCUGUGACUUGCAGAUUCUCGUGCCCUGAGCUGGAAGCACAAUUCCCAGACGUGUCCCAGCCUUUGCAGCCCUCACCCUCCCGUCCCUGCAGUACCUUCCUGCUUGCACUUGAAGGCAACCUUGCACCGCACAUUUUCCACGCCAAGAGCCGGGCAGGAGAGCUCCGCACGCCUCCUGCUGCAGGUGGGAAGCGCAGGGCUGCGGGCACCGAGGAAGAAGAGCCCAGAGGCUCCUCGGAGGGUCACUUCGGCACCCCCAUGCUGCUGCCUCCUCCUGCAGCCCCCCGGGAUUUGGGCAGCCUUGCAGCCUGCAGGGGAGAUGCUCUGCACAUCCCCAGAUGAUGCCGAGCGCUCACCGCCUUCUUUCGCUCUUCUUUUUGCCAAAAUUACCAAUGGGGACCACAAUUAAUAGCAGCGACAGGGCUGGGAGCUUUGUCGUGAGUGGGGACAGAAGGAGCUGGGACUGUGUAGAUAAGAGUGAUAUUUCCUAACUGCUGUCCCCAAGGAAUUUUAUCCUGGGGUACUCGGAGAGCCGGUUAUCUUGGCCAUUAGUGAACUUGUGAGGGACAGGUGAGAUACCAGCAGACGGGCAAAGGGCAAAGGCAGCAUCUCCCUUCAAAAGCAGGGGACGGGAGGGAUCAGGCAAUUACAGACCUUCUGCCUAACUUCAGUUCCCAGAAAUAUAUUGGAAGAAUUAAGGGCCUGGAAAAAAAAAGGAGGAUGAGUAACAGCACCCAUGGACUGGUGUGUAGUGAGCAGCACCACACAGAAAUGUGUUUGAUACACGGAGAAGACAAGGAGACACAGUACAGAAAAAUGUAAGAGUCUAGGGUAUUAAGCACAUAUUUUACCCUCAUUUCUGCGAACAGACACGUCAAUAUUGUAUAUACAUCCACCUCUUGACACUACUUUGAAAAGAACAACCAGUAACAUUACUGUGCACUAACUGCAUGUAGAAAACCAGUCUUGAAAGCAGAGCAGUAUUUAACAUUUUCUUCUUCUCCUUCUGCUCAAAAUGACCAUCUGGCAACAGACUUUCUGGAAUGGAGCCUUUUCUCUACUUUCUGUUUGGCGACAAAUUUGUGCCAAUUUCCAGCAGUUCAUGUGCUUUAGGGAUGCGCAAUAUCGUUCUCUGCUGAAACAUACGUGGGCUUGAAGUUAAAUUCAGACACUGAGAAGAUCUGGUGUGAAACAAGUUGUGGGGUAUGGCACAGUUUUCUCUGUGUGUGUGCAAUAUGUGAAACAAGAAAAAUUUCCGUACCUUUCCACAAAGCCUCAGGCUAGCUGGCAAAUUCUGUGUAUUAUCCACUGUCACUUUACUCAUGACUUGCCCUAAACUAACCCCAUCAAACCUGCCUCAAGUUUUAUUUAAAACUUCCAGGAACUUUAAUCUGAAAGCGUAGGAUGCAAGAUCCUCCUCUGACGUAGCUGGCAUAGUCACAGUUAAUUAACUUAAAAAAAUAAAAAUAAAAUAAAAUAAAAUAAAAUAAAAUAA